RNAcentral lists this ribosomal RNA (864 nucleotides) under uncultured bacterium. RNAcentral describes it as "bacterial SSU rRNA". It matches the Rfam family "Bacterial small subunit ribosomal RNA", at positions 26 to 896 of the family's 1533-position model. The record is from RNAcentral.
AGAAUGAACGUUGGCGGCGUGGAUUAGGCAUGCAAGUCGUGCGAGAAGUCUUUUGCUUGCAUUAGACGGAAAGCGGCGAAAGGGAGAGUAACGCGUGGAUACCUACCCCCAGGUUCGGGAUAGCUGCGGGAAACUGCAGGUAAUACCGAAUAAUAUCUCCGGAUCAAAGGUGUGAUUCCGCCUGGAGACGGAUCCGCGUCCUAUUAGCUUGUUGGUGGGGUAACGGCCUACCAAGGCUACGAUGGGUACCGGGCGUGAGAGCGUGACCCGGCUCACUGGGACUGAGACACUGCCCAGACACCUACGGGUGGCUGCAGUCGAGAAUCUUUGGCAAUGGACGAAAGUCUGACCAAGCGACGCCGCGUGCGGGAUGAAGGCCUUCGGGUUGUAAACCGCUGUCAGUUGGGAGGAAAUCACAUGGGGUUCUCCCCAUGUGUUGACCUAUCUUCAGAGGAAGGACGGGCUAAGUUCGUGCCAGCAGCCGCGGUAAGACGAACCGUCCAAACGUUAUUCGGAAUUACUGGGCUUAAAGGGUGCGUAGGCGGCCCUAUAAGUUGGGUGUGAAAUACCUCGGCUCAACCGAGGAAUUGCGCCCAAUACUGUAGAGCUAGAGGGAGACAGAGGUGAGCGGAACUUGUGGUGGAGCGGUGAAAUGCGUUGAUAUUACAAGGAACACCUGUGGCGAAAGCGGCUCACUGGGUCUCUUCUGACGCUGAGGCACGAAAGCUGGGGGAGCGAACGGGAUUAGAUACCCCGGUAGUCCCAGCUGUAAACGAUGAGCACUAGACCGGAGGACCCUCCAUAGUUUUCCGGUCGUAGCGAAAGUGUUAAGUGCUCCGCCUGGGGAGUAUGGUCGCAAGGCUG